RNAcentral lists this ribosomal RNA (253 nucleotides) under uncultured bacterium. RNAcentral describes it as "partial 16S ribosomal RNA". It matches the Rfam family "Bacterial small subunit ribosomal RNA", at positions 524 to 776 of the family's 1533-position model. The record is from RNAcentral.
UACGUAGGGUGCAAGCGUUGUCCGGAAUUAUUGGGCGUAAAGAGCUCGUAGGCGGUCAGUCGCGUCUGCUGUGAAAACUCGGGGCUUAACUCCGGGCCUGCAGUGGGUACGGGCUGACUAGAGUGCGGUAGGGGAGACUGGAAUUCCUGGUGUAGCGGUGAAAUGCGCAGAUAUCAGGAGGAACACCAGUGGCGAAAGCGCUCUACUGGGCCAUAACUGACACUGAGGGACGAAAGCUAGGGGAGCGAAAGGG